AAACUUACCUGGCAUGUGAGAUACCUUGAUCACCCAGGACAAGGCUCGACCAUUGCACUCAGGCCGUGCUGACUUCUGUGAAUUCUAAAAAUGUGGGAAUCUCGACUGCAUAAUUUUUAAAAAACAUUUAAUGUU
Small nuclear RNA from Oncorhynchus mykiss (rainbow trout), 135 nucleotides. Its record names the gene U1. It matches the Rfam family "U1 spliceosomal RNA". Rfam says of the family: U1 is a small nuclear RNA (snRNA) component of the spliceosome (involved in pre-mRNA splicing). Its 5' end forms complementary base pairs with the 5' splice junction, thus defining the 5' donor site of an intron. The record is from Ensembl. NCBI's taxonomy places the organism in Eukaryota, Metazoa, Chordata, Actinopteri, Salmoniformes, Salmonidae.